RNAcentral lists this long non-coding RNA (3563 nucleotides) under Homo sapiens (human). The record is from RNAcentral. Lineage: Eukaryota; Metazoa; Chordata; Mammalia; Primates; Hominidae.
AGGGCAGAGAUGGGUCCUUUAUUUUUCUCUCUAAUCUAGCCCAUAUGCUUAGCUGAGAAGGUUUCUUCAUAUCACUUUAAAUGAUGAUGUCCUUGUACAACAAUUUUCGAAACAUUCUUUAGAUAAGAAUUUUAUGGGCAUCCUUUAUUGCAUUAGGCUCAAAUUUCAUGCAUCUUAAGGUUUUAUUGCAAAGUGUUGCCUUGUUUCCUUUUUAAGAUGAUACAAUUUGUAACACGCAAGUUUGCUGUCUGUCCCCUCCCUUUAUGUACAUAUAAAAUGAGCAAACAUGUGGCCAUGAAACAGAUGGUCAUAGAAUUGGUUCAGUGGUUGUGAGUUCAGCAACCCAAGAGAGUCUUAUCUGAAAUACCACCAGGAAUGCCUGGACACAGUAGACAAAAGUUGUUCAACUGGACGCCUUAGGAUACACGCUACCAAAAACAAAGUAGCCAAAAAGGAACCAGAAUAACAGAAUAUCAGAGCCAGAGGAACAUUUGGAGGUAAUUCAGUACCUCCUCCUUUUCAACCUACAGGAGAGAUAGUGGAACAGAAGCAGAAAUGGGCCUGCCUGCUGUGCCCAAAAUUCAUUGGAGAUUGUUGUGGUGAAGAAUUUCAUUUAUGAUGAAGGAGAAAUAAACCCUGUCAGCUUAAAUUCAGGCAGGUUUAUUGAAAAGGUGAAGAAGCGUCUUGCAGAAGCAAAGCAUGGCUGAGGCUUGUGGGCUCUGUCUGGGAAAAUGAGCAGCUGACAGUGGCUGAUGCUGCCCCUGACUCUGGGGCCAUGUGGUCUCUUGUUCCCUGAGAGCAUCUCUUCUAUUCUCUUGCAUCUUCCCUCAGCCUGGCAGUCUCUGUGUACUCUGCAACACAUAAUUGAGCAAGGCUGUGCCAGCCCCAAUGCCACCUGGCACUUUAGGUCAAAUUAGAAAGGCAUGAAAUAAAGUGGCCCUUUAUAAUACAGCUGUUGGAACAACAGUUGGAAGUACAAUAUCUUGACUCCUUAUUUAGUGCUUUAUGCUGAACUUUCUUUUCUGAAUAUGAGCACAGACUUCGGAAUAUUAAUGUCACCUAGCGUUCUUAGCUAGUAUUCUCCUUUUGUUUUCCCAUAACAUCCCCUCCUUCUUCCCACAGAUCCACUGUCCACUCAUUUCCAUCCUGUCUCAUGCCACUCGGGGCUCGUCCCUCCUAGAAUGCAUCCCUGGCUCCCCUGCGUGCACACUUCUAGUUAGGUUUAGCAAUGGAGGGCCCCCGAUGGAUCCUGGAAGUGAGAGGAAGUGUCCACAGAUCAGAAGUUCAGGCCUGGAUUCUCUGGGUCUUCUUCUCAGGGCCUCACAGGCUGAAAUUAGGCUGGGUUUCUUUCUGGAGGUUCUGGGGAAGAACUUCCUCUCAAGUUUCCUCAGGUUGUCAGCUGAGUUCAGUUCCUUGUGACUGUAGGACUGAGAUCUCUGUUUUCUUGCUGGCUGUCAGCCAGGGGCCUCUCGCUGCUCGUAGAGGCCUCCCAUGUUCCCACUGCAUGCUUCCUCCAGCCAGCAGAGGAGGAUCGCCCUGCAUGGAAACCCUCCUGCACUUCACAUCUCUCCAGGAAGUCCUCAGUCCCUCCAAGGAACUCACGUUCACUAGGUCAAGCUCAUCAGAUAAUCUGUCUAUCUUAAAUUUGACCGAUUUGGGAUCUCGAUUACAUCUGUUAACUUGUUUUUGCCAUAAAUUGUAGCACAAUCACAGGAGUGACAUCUCCUCAGUAGCUUUGUCUACACUCAGGAGGAAGUGAUUAUAUAAGAGCAAAGAUCACUGGGGGUCAUCUUAGGAUUCUGUCUACCAUAAUAUUAUAAAGACACAGUAAUUAAAAGAGUAUAACAGAUUUCUGCUUCUGUCUGUUAGAAUAAAUCAUAUCAGACUAACCCUGCCUCCAUAAACAAACGUAAAAUUGUUUUCAGCAGUGUACAACAGGCAGUCCAAGAGAAAACUUAAGGGGGAAGCCCCAUGAUUUCCUAGUUGUUUGGGGAGAAUUUCUCAGCAGCUGCAUAGUGAGCUAGAGUCCACUCAGGGCAGGGCAGCUCACUGAGCUGAGAAGGCAGAGAUCAGAGUUCAAGACGGCUGAAGCAACUGCAAUCUGCAGGGCAGGGCACCAGUGAGGAGACAGCUGAUCAAAGGUGCAGCUCUCAAAGUCUAUGUGGGGUUCCAUGUGCAUACUUAUCAAGGAGUGGACUCUACCUGCACAAGGAAAAGACUAACAGAUUUAACAGAGGGGUGGCUGCUAUGAAAUUGAGUUUGGACCAGAGGUACUUGAGGUGGAGGAGGGUUGGGGAAUGUAUGAUGGAGUUUCUGCCAUCCAUGGUGGGAAGAACUCAUGCACACCUCAUUAGCACCCAGGUAUCCAACUGAGACACUAGAAUGGAUGUGCUUUAGGAAUAAGUGUCACACUUUUCAAUAAGGCCUAUUGUAGACCAACCUGCUAAAGCCUAAAAGCAAACCCUGACAAAUUCACAAAGGGGUGGAUUGGUGAUUGAGUCCUGCCAAAUUAGAGGGUCUUGGGAAAUGCUGUGGGCUUUCCAUGAAUCCGUUGUAAUAAAACAUAAACCAGUCCACAUAAGUCCAAAGUGAUCAGACAGUAAUUUUACUGCCCACUAGAACAAAAUUAAUUCACACAAUCAAUGACACAUGUUAGCCAGGUCGAUAUUUAAGCAAAAUACAUCUAAGAACAGCUAACAAAUAACUCUUCUCAAACUCACAUAGAGCAUUCAGCAAGAUAGACCACAUGUGCUGAGCCAUCGUUAGUAUUUUCUGUCCUUUCUCUUUGACUCGUGUAUAGUGUGCUCAAACUCUUAAAAUUAUACACUUUAAUGAUUAUACACUUUCAUGCAUCUCAAUUGCAUGUAAGUUAUAUUUCAACAUAUUUGUUAAAAGUUUAUAAUUAAAAAAACUGUCCUAGCUUGAUUCAAGAAAUCUUUUUUAUAUUUAAGAAAAUGUAAUGUUAUGUAUUAUCAGGGCAAAAGAGAAAAACCAUAUGAUUACCUUGUCAUACACAGUAAAAGCAUUUGGCACAAUUGAAAACUUUUUUCAUGAUUUAUAAAAACAAACCCCAGAAAACUCUCAGCAUGAUAAGAAGAGAAGGCAACACUUUCAACCCUAUUAAGGGUAGAUUUGAAAAAAACUCAGAGGUAACAUUAUAUUAAAUGGCAUAGGAUUGAAUGCUUUUCUAUUAAAUCAGAGAAAAAAGUAGAAUAUCUGUUGUUAUUCUUUCAAUUCAGCAUUAUACUAGAGAUCUAAAUCAAUGCAAUAAAGUAAGAAAAAUAAAUAAAAGUAUUGAAAAGAUUGAAAAGAAAGAAUUGAAGCUGUCUUAUUCACAGAUAAUGACUGUGUAUGUUAAUAAUCCUAGAAAUCUAUAAAAAUCUGCCAAAACUAAUUAGUGAGUUUGGUAAUGUUGCAGAAUAUAAGCUCAAUAGAAGUAGUCUUUUGUAUUUCUGUGUAUUAGCAAUGAGCAUUUGGAAAAUGAAAUAAAAAUACAAUUUCAUUUCAAGUAACAUCUAAAUACAUGUUGUGCUUAGAAAUAAAUUCAACAGGCUGGAUCCGGU